This is a long non-coding RNA of Papaver somniferum (opium poppy), 1386 nucleotides long. RefSeq lists it as uncharacterized. The record is from RefSeq and is a predicted model, not a curated record. The transcript has 8 exons. NCBI's taxonomy places the organism in Eukaryota, Viridiplantae, Streptophyta, Magnoliopsida, Ranunculales, Papaveraceae.
UUCUCUGCCAAAACAAAGUAUACCCAAAAGGAAGAGGUCCGGGAAUGGUAUGACAGAAAAUUCCAUGCAUAAGAAGGUAAAAAUCUCGUCAAGAGUACGGCUCUAGUUAUUAGAUUCUCAGUUAUAUAGAAAACUCUCCUUAAUAGUUGACACUAUGGAUGUUGAAUCCGUCAUAUGAUAUGUUUGCAAUCCGGUUGUGAAUGGCUUUCCUCAAACUCCUGGACUUGGGAAGGGAGAUCCUUGUGAGUUGAUGAUAGACUCUGAUGUCGUAGCAACGGGAAUUGUCUUCUAUUCUGACCCUGAGGAGGUGGUGAAAGAUCAUAAUGAAUAUUUGAGCAAAUAUAAUUACCGUGUCAUGGUUAAAUAUGCUAAGAAACCUGCAGUCCUCGUCCCGGUUCCGGUCCCUAAAAGUGAUAUAGAGAUAGACAAAGAUGUUGUAGGGACGUUCGUGCAAUGGCCUAAGAAACUCGUACUCAUAUCAAAUAAGGGUGAAGACACGACAUCUUCAUCAGAUUUGCUAGAGAUUUUUUUGAAUGAUGCAACUAAUCGUCUAUCCGAAUUGGACGGAGAUAUUUUGAUGACUAUUGGUUGUGGUAUUUUCAACUCGGUAACUAACAACACGUUGAACGUAUUGGUGGAUGAUAUCACACGUGUCUGCAAACGAGGACGAUAUGCAUCUGUUACCAAUGUUGUUAUAUACAUCAGGAUUUUGCACGAGAAACUUCUUUCAUCAAAAAACCAAAGCAAAUUUGCUUUUGUGGAUCCAGCAGCGCUACAAUCGAAGGCAUCAAAUUCGACAAAAUUCACUCUGGAUCUCAUCACCUGGCUUAAUAAAGCAAAUGCAGAGUUCUGUUUCCUUAUCUAAGGAAACCACAUCAUUGGGUCUUAUUGGUUAUUAACUUUAGUGCUCGGAAGGCAUGGUGGAUAGAUCCAGCUGGUGGCAAAACCGCAAACUCUGAAAUUCAUAAAAAUAUCAAGAGGGCUUUGAAAGGUUGUCUACAAGUAGGAAAAGGAAACUCAGGCUUUUCAUUUUAUGAAGAGAAGUGUAUCCCUCGACAAGAGAACCACUGUCAAUAUGGAUUUUAUAUUAUGAGGUACAUGAAAGAACUUGUGGAAAGACAAAGCUCUGAGCCUGCAUUCAUGUAUUUUCCAAAGAAAAAGUACGAUGAGGGAGAUAUGAUGGAAGUCCGCAAAGAAUGGAUCGAUCACAUCAAACCAUAUAUAAAAGAGAACGAUGCAGCGGCUGAUAUGGAUUAAGAGAACGAUGGAGUGACAGAUAUGGAUUGCUUAGCGGAAUAAUUUAAAGCUUGUUGUUUCUUUUCUUUUUUUCCUAAACGAUUGUGACUACUUAUUAGUUUUUUCUUUUGAUGCGGAUAUUGAUAUUCA